This 416-nucleotide ribosomal RNA is filed under the name uncultured prokaryote. RNAcentral's name for it is "bacterial SSU rRNA". It matches the Rfam family "Bacterial small subunit ribosomal RNA", at positions 505 to 918 of the family's 1533-position model. The record is from RNAcentral.
GUGUCAGCAGCCGCGGUAAAACGUAGGGGGCGAGCGUUAUCCGGAUUUACUGGGCGUAAAGCGCACGUAGGCGGCAUUGUAAGUUGGGCGUGAAAGCUCCCGGCUCAACUGGGAGAGGUCGUUCAAUACUGCAAUGCUUGAGGUUGACAGAGGAGAGUAGAAUUCCCGGUGUAGUGGUGGAAUGCGUAGAUAUCGGGAGGAAUACCAGUGGCGAAGGCGGCUCUCUGGGUCAUACCUGACGCUGAGGUGCGAAAGCGUGGGGAGCGAACGGGAUUAGAUACCCCGGUAGUCCACGCCGUAAACGAUGGAUACUAGGUGUGGGAGGUUAUAUACCCCUUCCGUGCCGAAGCUAACGCGUUAAGUAUCCCGCCUGGGGACUACGGCCGCAAGGUUAAAACUUAAAUGAAUUGACGGGG